Molecule: ribosomal RNA, 443 nt
Filed under: uncultured bacterium
Lineage: Bacteria
Description: partial 16S ribosomal RNA
Rfam family: Bacterial small subunit ribosomal RNA
Source: RNAcentral
CCUACGGGAGGCAGCAGUGGGGAAUAUUGGGCAAUGGGCGCAAGCCUGACCCAGCAACGCCGCGUGAAGGAAGAAGGCUUUCGGGUUGUAAACUUCUUUUCUGAGGGACGAAGAAAGUGACGGUACCUCAGGAAUAAGCCACGGCUAACUACGUGCCAGCAGCCGCGGUAAUACGUAGGUGGCAAGCGUUAUUCGGCUUUAUUGGGUGUAAAGGGCGGGUAGGCGGGAAAGCAAGUCAGAUGUGAAAACUCAGGGCUCAACCCUGAGCCUGCAUAUGAAACUGUUUUUCUUGAGUGCUGGAGGGGCAAUCGGAAUUCCGGGUGUAGCGGUGAAAUGCGUAGAUAUACGGAGGAACACCAGUGGCGAAGGCGGAUUGCUGGACAGUAACUGACGCUGAGGCGCGAAGGCGUGGGGAGCAAACAGGAUUAGAUACCCGGGUAGUC